RNAcentral lists this ribosomal RNA (223 nucleotides) under uncultured bacterium. RNAcentral describes it as "partial 16S ribosomal RNA". It matches the Rfam family "Bacterial small subunit ribosomal RNA", at positions 15 to 228 of the family's 1533-position model. The record is from RNAcentral.
GAUCCUGGCUCAGGAUGGACGCUGGCGGCGUGCCUAAUACAUGCAAGUAGAACGCUGAAGCUUGGUGCUUGCACCGAGCGGAAGAGUUGCGAACGGGUGAGUAACGCGUAGGUAACCUGCCUCUUAGCGGGGGAUAACUAUUGGAAACGAUAGCUAAUACCGCGUAAAAGUCGAUAUCGCAUGAUGUUGAUUUGAAAGGUGCAAUUGCAUCACUAAGAGAUGG